AUACAUACCAAACAUAAAGGUGCCCCGCAUUAAAAACGGGGUUAAAAGGGAAGUCGGUUCAAUGCCGGCGCGGUCCCGCCACUGUAAGUGUGAGUUAGUCGCAAUGUGUCACUGGAAAAAGUUCCGGGAAGACGCGGCAAGCCUUGAACACGAGCCAGGAGACCUGCCUUUAUGGAUCACACGUA
This 185-nucleotide non-coding RNA is filed under the name Sporosarcina psychrophila. Lineage: Bacteria; Bacillati; Bacillota; Bacilli; Caryophanales; Caryophanaceae. The record is from RNAcentral.